AUAGCGAGGGAACGACGGCAUCUGUGCGCGGUCGCGCUUGCCCUGCAUGUAAACUCGACAGAGCAGGCACAUACCCUUAGCCCAGCACAGCGUAUAUGAGUGGCGGCCCGAACACGGUGGCGGUGCUGCCGUCGCUACGCAAGUCGAUGACGGUCUCCGCCGUUCCUGGGCAGCGCCCGCGCGAUAGCGUCAGCGCCCUCGCCCCGCCCGGCAACAGCAGCCGUGUCAACAUUGUCGGCGGCUACGAGGCGGGGUCGAAGCCGGUUUCUGGGCGCCCCGGCACCCUGCGCAAGAGUCGCUCCGGCACGAGCGAUGAGGCGUUCCUCGCCUCGCUUGUCGGCACCGACUUGGCCUCCACAAAGGCUGCCGCGGACGCCUACUACAACCAGUACAAGGAGAAGGCCGACGAGAACGCAAUGCUGCGCGCUGCUCUGCGGCAGCAAGAGGUGGACUCGGUGCAGGUAGUGCAGUUUCUGGAAAGCAAGCUGAGAGAGUUAGAGACGGAGGCGCAGACGUACAAAACGGGCAUCACGCAGCUGCUAGACGACCACCGCCGCGCGGAGGAGGAGCUGCAGUCGAAGUACGGUGAGAUGCUGCGCGAGCGUGAUGUCGAGCUCGCGCGCUACGCAUCCGUCACCACGAAGCUGCACGAUGACCUUCGCCAAGCCUCCCGCUAUGUCCAGCAACGACAGGAGCACACGGUGGAGCUGCAACAGCUGCAGAAGCAGCUGGAGGACCUAGUCGUGGAGCACGAGAAGGAGGUAGCAGCCUUGCACUUCCAGACGGUGGACCGCAAGCUGAAGCUCAUCGCGCUGGAAAAGACGAUGCGGGCCGAGUUUGACGAGCUGGUGGAGGCGCGGGCGGCCAGGGCGCUGGAGGAGCGCUUCCAGAGCGUGCUGGAGCGGACGCGGCGGUUGGAAGAGGAGAAGGCGUCGAUGACGCACGACAUCCACAAUCUGAUGCAGCUCACGACCGACAUCGACGCCGAGCGGGUGCAAGUGCGGCGCCACGCGGCAGUGCAGCAGCAGGCGCACAAGGAGUUGGCGCACCACGCAUUGGCGCGCAGACGGCAGAAGGAGAAGGCGGAUCUCAAAAUCUACGAGCUGGAGGAGCGGGUGGGAGAGCUGACGGCGCAGCAGCAAGUGGUGCGGGCGGAGCUGCAGGAGAACUAUCAGAGUCGCAUCGACGCGCUGGAGGCGGAGCUGAAGUCGACGCGCACGUCGUUGCAGUCGCACCGCGCAGAGCUGCAGCGCAUGCGCCAGCUCACCGCCCGCGUGGUGGCCGAGCGCAGUGAGCUGGAGAAUUUCUUUCACACCGCGCUGGCCGAUUGCCUGCGCUAUCGGCAUGACAUGUCGGCAAGCCACCAUGCGUCCACUGCCGCCUCUGCGACGAGCUCAAGCAAGGGUGCAAUACCGUUGGGGAACGUGGAUUCGGGUGGCGGGGUGAGUAGAGGUGCCGCGUCGCGCCAAACAGCACAGGAGUUUGCCCCGACGGUCGCCGCGGUCGCGAGUCCGGCGCCGUCGUCGUCGCCGGCGACCACGCUGAAAAACAGCGGCGUCUUUUUCGAGGAGCUGUCGUGGAAAGACAAGGAGAAGGUCAUCAAGUCGCUGCUCUUCUUCUUCAACGCCAACUAUUACAAAUCCUCGUCGCCGGCACCGACAAUGGCAGGCGGUAGUCCUCGGGAGGACGCGUGUACUUCAUAACACGGGCGGCACCCACGCCCCUUCUUGUUCACCAUGUACAUCAUACGAAUG
RNAcentral lists this unclassified non-coding RNA (1754 nucleotides) under Leishmania donovani. Its description in RNAcentral is "gene:LdHU3.24.2130(CDS-product:hypothetical_prote in_conserved)". Lineage: Eukaryota; Euglenozoa; Kinetoplastea; Trypanosomatida; Trypanosomatidae. The record is from RNAcentral.